This 234-nucleotide unclassified non-coding RNA is filed under the name plant metagenome. RNAcentral's name for it is "partial contains small subunit ribosomal RNA, internal transcribed spacer 1, and 5.8S ribosomal RNA". The record is from RNAcentral.
UUUCCGUAGGUGAACCUGCGGAAGGAUCAUUACUGAGUGAGGGCCCUCUGGGUCCAACCUCCCACCCGUGUUUAUUGUACCUUGUUGCUUCGGUGAGCCCGCCUCACGGCCGCCGGGGGGCAUCUGCCCCCGGGCCCGCGCUCGCCGAAGACACCAUUGAACUCUGUCUGAAGUUUGCAGUCUGAGCGAAAACUAAAUAAGUUAAAACUUUCAACAACGGAUCUCUUGGUUCCG